AUGUGCUCCCUGUGUUCCUUACUGCUAAUAAUUGUCUUGCUGCCUGGAACAAAUGGUAAAGAUUCAGUGUCCCAGGAUCUCCCUGAAUUAACGGUUCUGGAAGGACAGAGCAUAACACUGGACUGUAAUUACUCGACAACUUAUGCCCCAACUCUGUUCUGGUACAUCCAGUACCCCGGAGAAGGUCCGAGAUAUUUAAUGAGGAUAUAUAGCUUGGGGGAUGCAGAGAAGUCUCCAGAUUUCCCAGACAGGUUCUCAGCUGUGUUGCACAAAGGAAGCAAAACGGUUCCUUUAAAUGUCACCGGGACUCUUCUCUCCGACAGCGCCGUGUAUUUCUGUGCCAUGGACGCCACACUGCUGCAGAGAAAUAGCGGAUCCCGUGCAGCCAGAAUGUUCAGCGGCGCUGUCAGCCGCUCAAACACAAACCGAGAGGAAAACACAUUCACCUCGGUUCAAACUGUCAACAACUGCAGCGGCCGAGAAAACAAAGUGCAGAUUCCGAACCGACCGACAGAUAAAUUACCAAAUGAGUCUACAGUUUAA
Non-coding RNA from Carcharodon carcharias (great white shark), 543 nucleotides. Lineage: Eukaryota; Metazoa; Chordata; Chondrichthyes; Lamniformes; Lamnidae. The record is from the annotation of a RefSeq genome assembly.